Gallus gallus (chicken) is the source of this 807-nucleotide long non-coding RNA. Lineage: Eukaryota; Metazoa; Chordata; Aves; Galliformes; Phasianidae. The record is from Ensembl.
AAACGUGCCAGCUCAGCAUCUCAGGCAAACCCCUUCCCUACCUACCUCAGUUCCCCAGGUGCACCUAUACAAUAGGUUUGAGUCUCUGGAACUUUAAGGAGAGGUGAGUGAGGAUGUAGUGGGAGGUCCAUCCCCAAGGUUGUUUAAGGUGAGGCAGUCAACUCUGUGCCUCAAGACUGCCUCCACAAAGGAGGAAAGAAGGAUGACUGUCAUAGGCAACUCCCUUCUGACAGGAACAGAGGGCUCUAUAUGUUGGCCUGACCCUACCUGUAGAGAAGUGACAGUGAUGAAGUUGCUGAGAGAAGCUUGAGGACUAUCAAAAGGGACUUCAAGGGCACUGGAGCAGUUAGCUGAUGGACCAUGAGUACAGGCUGGAAAACCUAUCUCUCCACUGAAGUCAGCUAGACUUCAACCACUGAUCCUGUAUGAGCUGACUGAAGAAAUAAUAAAUCCUUGGAUGGUAACAGUAAUUGGAGAAGUCUGAUAGCUUAAGAACUAGGAGAUGCUGAAAUACUACCUUAAUCUACAGCUUCAAGGAAAACUUGAUGGGCUGACCAAUAUGACGUAAAAGUCUGGAUGAAGAAAAUAUCCAGAAUGAAAGACAAAAUGCAGAGGUUCUAUGUGAGGAAGGGUGCAGGGUCCUGGAAGGAACACCAAAAAAGAUGAACAUCUGUGAAAAAUCCAGCCAAAAUUUGUCAUGAAGACAUAUGAAAGGGGCCAGCAUAAAAUCUACCAGUGCAAAAUUGAUCUGAAAAAAAUGUUUUGAACAAAUCUAAUUUGUCAAUCUGAGUUCAUACUUGAUCAGUG